Small nuclear RNA from Oryctolagus cuniculus (rabbit), 101 nucleotides. NCBI's taxonomy places the organism in Eukaryota, Metazoa, Chordata, Mammalia, Lagomorpha, Leporidae. The record is from Ensembl.
CUGAUGUUGGCAGCACAUAUACUAAAAUUAUAUUGAUUCAGAGAUUAGCAUGGCCCCUGUGCAAGGAUGACACACAAAUUCAUAAAAUCUGCCAUAUUUUU